UACGACUCUCGGCAACGGAUAUCUCGGCUCUCGCAUCGAUGAAGAACGUAGCGAAAUGCGAUACUUGGUGUGAAUUGCAGAAUCCCGCGAACCAUCGAGUCUUUGAACGCAAGUUGCGCCCGAGGCCAUCCGGCCGAGGGCACGCCUGCCUGGGCGUCACGC
Molecule: ribosomal RNA, 162 nt
Filed under: Alania cunninghamii
Lineage: Eukaryota; Viridiplantae; Streptophyta; Magnoliopsida; Asparagales; Boryaceae
Description: 5.8S ribosomal RNA
Rfam family: 5.8S ribosomal RNA
About the family: 5.8S ribosomal RNA (5.8S rRNA) is a component of the large subunit of the eukaryotic ribosome.
Source: RNAcentral